This 252-nucleotide ribosomal RNA is filed under the name uncultured prokaryote. RNAcentral describes it as "partial 16S ribosomal RNA". It matches the Rfam family "Bacterial small subunit ribosomal RNA", at positions 524 to 776 of the family's 1533-position model. The record is from RNAcentral.
UACGUAGGGGGCAAGCGUUGUCCGGAAUUAUUGGGCGUAAAGCGCGCGCAGGCGGUCAUUUAAGUCUGGUGUUUAAUCCCGGGGCUCAACCCCGGAUCGCACUGGAAACUGGGUGACUUGAGUGCAGAAGAGGAGAGUGGAAUUCCACGUGUAGCGGUGAAAUGCGUAGAGAUGUGGAGGAACACCGAUGGCGAAGGCAGCCUUCUGGGCCAACACUGACGCUCAUGCACGAAAGCGUGGGGAGCAAACAGG